This 81-nucleotide transfer RNA is filed under the name Johnson-sea-linkia profunda. RNAcentral describes it as "tRNA-Leu". It matches the Rfam family "tRNA". From Rfam's summary of the family: Transfer RNA (tRNA) molecules are approximately 80 nucleotides in length. The record is from RNAcentral. Lineage: Eukaryota; Viridiplantae; Chlorophyta; Ulvophyceae; Bryopsidales; Halimedaceae.
GCUCUUGUGACGAAAUUGGUAGACGUGUUAGUUUUAGGAACUAAUGUCUUUGAUAUAUGGGUUCGAGUCCCAUCAAGAGCA